GACGAACGCUGGCGGCGUGCUUAACACAUGCCAGUCGAACGAUGACGACCGAGCUUGCUCGGUCUGAUUAGUGGCGAACGGGUGAGUAACACGUGAGCAACCUGCCCUUCACUCUGGGAUAACCUCGGGAAAUCGGGGCUAAUACCGGAUAUGAGCUCCUGUCGCAUGGCGGGUGUUGGAAAGUUUUUCGGUGAAGGAUGGGCUCGCGGCCUAUCAGUUUGUUGGUGAGGUAGUGGCUCACCAAGGCGAUGACGGGUAGCCGGCCUGAGAGGGCGACCGGCCACACUGGGACUGAGACACGGCCCAGACUCCUACGGGAGGCAGCAGUGGGGAAUAUUGCACAAUGGGCGAAAGCCUGAUGCAGCGACGCCGCGUGAGGGAUGACGGCCUUCGGGCUGUAAACCUCUUUCAGCAGGGAAGAAGCGAAAGUGACGGUACCUGCAGAAGAAGCGCCGGCUAACUACGUG
Molecule: ribosomal RNA, 467 nt
Filed under: uncultured bacterium
Lineage: Bacteria
Description: partial 16S ribosomal RNA
Rfam family: Bacterial small subunit ribosomal RNA
Source: RNAcentral